Molecule: ribosomal RNA, 253 nt
Filed under: uncultured bacterium
Lineage: Bacteria
Description: partial 16S ribosomal RNA
Rfam family: Bacterial small subunit ribosomal RNA
Source: RNAcentral
UACGUAGGGGGCAAGCGUUGUCCGGAAUUACUGGGCAUAAAGGGUGCGUAGGCGGUUUGUUAAGUCUGUGGUGAAAGUUUUCGGCCCAACCGGAAAAUUGCCGCGGAUACUGGCGAACUUGAGUGCGUGAGGGAUGGGGGGAACGAGCAGUGUAGCGGUGAAAUGCGUAGAUAUCAGGAGGAACACCGAUGGCGAAGGCAGGUCUCUGGGCCACUACUGACGCUGAGAAGCGAAAGCGUGGGGAGCGAACAGG